UUCAUCCGACUUCUUCUCAAGUAAGUAUUCCCUACUCUCUCACCCACACACAUUUCCUUUUCCAGCUCUCAUCUUUUUUUUCUUCUAAAUUCCUAGUUUGUUUGACUCUUUUAUUCUGCUAGAAUACAGAAUCAACGGAUGAAGUUGUUUGAUGUGCUUCUUAUCUUAUGCUGCACAGAAUUAACAGAAGCUUCUUUUUUUUUUCUUUUUAACUUUUUCCUUUUUAUUCUGUCCUUAUUAAGAUUUUAUUGGAAGAUUUCGCUGUUUUAGCUGAAGUUUGGGUUCCACUCUUCGGAUUCGAGAUUUUGUAUUUUUCUCUCCAUUAAAGUUGUCUUUUAGAUUUUAAUAAUUUCUUCUUUUUUUUUUUUCUGUUUUGAUCGUUUUGCGGUUCAGAUCUCGCAUUAGUUUCUAAUGGUACGGUCAGGAAUCAUCCUGGCCAAUCAAAAUUCCCUGCAUUAAUGUUCUCUUCUUGCUUUUCUCUGCAAAUGCUCGGAAACUAUCCUUUGUCUUGCUUAAAUUUAUUUGUCAUGUUUUCUCUUUUGAUAUUAGAUUUGGAACAUCUUUUACCUACUUAAGCUAAAUUCCAACUCUCUCUCAC
Molecule: long non-coding RNA, 598 nt
Filed under: Amborella trichopoda
Lineage: Eukaryota; Viridiplantae; Streptophyta; Magnoliopsida; Amborellales; Amborellaceae
Description: long non-coding RNA (ATRI_LNC000419)
Source: RNAcentral